RNAcentral lists this ribosomal RNA (868 nucleotides) under Hyphodontia sp. RNAcentral describes it as "partial large subunit ribosomal RNA". It matches the Rfam family "Eukaryotic large subunit ribosomal RNA", at positions 66 to 915 of the family's 3401-position model. Lineage: Eukaryota; Fungi; Basidiomycota; Agaricomycetes; Hymenochaetales; Schizoporaceae. The record is from RNAcentral.
UAACAAGGAUUCCCCUAGUAACUGCGAGUGAAGCGGGAAAAGCUCAAAUUUAAAAUCUGGCGGCGUUGGUCGUCCGAGUUGUAAUCUGGAGAAGCAUUUUCUGUGUCGGACCGUGCACAAGUUUCCUGGAACGGAAUGUCAUAGAGGGUGAGAAUCCCGUCCAUGGCACGGAUCACCGAUGCAUUGUGAUAUGCUCUCGAAGAGUCGAGUUGUUUGGGAAUGCAGCUCAAAAUGGGUGGUAAAUUCCAUCUAAAGCUAAAUAUUGGCGAGAGACCGAUAGCGAACAAGUACCGUGAGGGAAAGAUGAAAAGCACUUUGGAAAGAGAGUUAAACAGUACGUGAAAUUGUUGAAAGGGAAACGCUUGGAGUCAGUCGCGUUGGUCGGGAUUCAGUCGCUCUUACCGGAGUGGAUUACUUCCUGAUGAACGGGUCAACAUCGAUUUCGACCGGUGGACAAAGGGGAGAGAAAGGUGGCACCUUCGGGUGUGUUAUAGUCUCUCUUUCGCAUACACCGGCUGGGAUCGAGGAUCGCAGCACGCCUUUAUGGCCGGGGGUUCGCCUCACGUAACGUGCUUAGGAUGUUGGCAUAAUGGCUUUAAGCGACCCGUCUUGAAACACGGACCAAGGAGUCUAACAUGCUCGCGAGUGUUAGGGUGGAAAACCCUUGCGCGUAAUGAAAGUGAAAGUUGGGACCUUCGUCAUGGAGGGCACCGACGCCCGGCCUUGAACUCUUGUGACGGUGCUGCGGUAGAGCGCGUAUGUUGGGACCCGAAAGAUGGUGAACUAUGCCUGAAUAGGGCGAAGCCAGAGGAAACUCUGGUGGAGGCUCGUAGCGAUUCUGACGUGCAAAUCGAUCGUCAAAUUUGGG